GACGAACGCUGGCGGCGUGCUUAACACAUGCAAGUCGAACGGAAAGGCCCUGCUUUUGUGGGUGCUCGAGUGGCGAACGGGUGAGUAACACGUUAGUAACCUGCCCUUGACUUUGGGAUAAAUUCAGGAAACUGGGGCUAAUACCGGAUAGGAGCUCCUGCUGCAUGGGGGGGGUUGGAAAGUUUCGGCGGUUGGGGAUGGACUCGCGGCUUAUCAGCUUGUUGGUGGGGUAGUGGCUUACCAAGGCUUUGACGGGUAGCCGGCCUGAGAGGGUGACCGGCCACAUUGGGACUGAGAUACGGCCCAGACUCCUACGGGAGGCAGCAGUGGGGAAUAUCGCACAAUGGGCGGAAGCCUGAUGCAGCAACGCCGCGUGCGGGAUGACGGCCUUCGGGUUGUAAACCGCUUUCGCCUGUGACGAAGCGUGAGUGACGGUAAUGGGUAAAGAAGCACCGGCUAACUACGUG
Molecule: ribosomal RNA, 467 nt
Filed under: uncultured bacterium
Lineage: Bacteria
Description: partial 16S ribosomal RNA
Rfam family: Bacterial small subunit ribosomal RNA
Source: RNAcentral